This 254-nucleotide ribosomal RNA is filed under the name uncultured bacterium. RNAcentral's name for it is "partial 16S ribosomal RNA". It matches the Rfam family "Bacterial small subunit ribosomal RNA", at positions 524 to 776 of the family's 1533-position model. The record is from RNAcentral.
UACAGAGGUCUCAAGCGUUGUUCGGAAUCACUGGGCGUAAAGGGUGUGUAGGCGGUUGUCUAAGUUUGGUGUGAAAUCUCCCGGCUCAACCGGGAGGGUGCGCCGAAUACUGAAUGACUUCGAGUGCGGGAGAGGAGAGUGGAAUUCCUGGUGUAGCGGUGAAAUGCGUAGAUAUCAGGAGGAACACCGGUGGUGUAGACGGCUCUCUGGACCGUAACUGACGCUGAGACACGAAAGCGUGGGUAGCAAACAGG